UACGGAGGGGGCUAGCGUUGUUCGGAAUUACUGGGCGUAAAGCGCACGUAGGCGGCUUUGUAAGUUAGAGGUGAAAGCCCGGGGCUCAACUCCGGAAUUGCCUUUAAGACUGCAUCGCUAGAAUUGUGGAGAGGUAAGUGGAAUUCCGAGUGUAGAGGUGAAAUUCGUAGAUAUUCGCAAGAACACCAGUGGCGAAGGCGGCUCACUGGCUCGGUACUGACGCUGAGGUGCGAAAGCGUGGGGAGCAAACAGG
RNAcentral lists this ribosomal RNA (253 nucleotides) under uncultured bacterium. Its description in RNAcentral is "partial 16S ribosomal RNA". It matches the Rfam family "Bacterial small subunit ribosomal RNA", at positions 524 to 776 of the family's 1533-position model. The record is from RNAcentral.